GUGGGGAAUAUUGGACAAUGGGCGCAAGCCUGAUCCAGCCAUGCCGCGUGAGUGAUGAAGGCCUUAGGGUUGUAAAGCUCUUUCAGUGGGGACGAUAAUGACGGUACCCACAGAAGAAGCCCCGGCUAACUUCGUGCCAGCAGCCGCGGUAAUACGAAGGGGGCUAGCGUUGUUCGGAUUUACUGGGCGUAAAGCGCACGUAGGCGGAUCGUUAAGUCGGGGGUGAAAUCCUGGAGCUCAACUCCAGAACUGGCGUCGAUACUGGCGAUCUUGAGUCCGGAAGAGGUGAGUGGAACUCCUAGUGUAGAGGUGGAAUUCGUAGAUAUUAGGAAGAACACCAGUGGCGAAGGCGGCUCACUGGUCCGGUACUGACGCUGAGGUGCGAAAGCGUGGGGAGCAAACAGGAUUAGAUACCCUUGUAGUCC
RNAcentral lists this ribosomal RNA (425 nucleotides) under uncultured bacterium. RNAcentral's name for it is "partial 16S ribosomal RNA". It matches the Rfam family "Bacterial small subunit ribosomal RNA", at positions 354 to 796 of the family's 1533-position model. The record is from RNAcentral.